GUGGGGAAUCUUGCGCAAUGGGCGAAAGCCUGACGCAGCCAUGCCGCGUGAAUGAUGAAGGUCUUAGGAUUGUAAAAUUCUUUCACCGGGGAAGAUAAUGACGGUACCCGGAGAAGAAGCCCCGGCUAACUUCGUGCCAGCAGCCGCGGUAAUACGAAGGGGGCUAGCGUUGCUCGGAAUUACUGGGCGUAAAGGGCGCGUAGGCGGACAUUUAAGUCAGAGGUGAAAGCCCAGGGCUCAACCUUGGAAUUGCCUUUGAUACUGGAUGUCUUGAGUUCGGGAGAGGUGAGUGGAAUGCCGAGUGUAGAGGUGAAAUUCGUAGAUAUUCGGCGGAACACCAGUGGCGAAGGCGACUCACUGGCCCGAUACUGACGCUGAGGCGCGAAAGCGUGGGGAGCAAACAGGAUUAGAUACCCCUGUAGUCC
This 425-nucleotide ribosomal RNA is filed under the name uncultured bacterium. RNAcentral describes it as "bacterial SSU rRNA". It matches the Rfam family "Bacterial small subunit ribosomal RNA", at positions 354 to 796 of the family's 1533-position model. The record is from RNAcentral.